CCCUCUGGGCAUUCUACCUAACAUGAAAGAAACAGUCCUCUUUGUAUUUAGGGUUCUCAUGGAAGGACUUGAUGAUGAUGGUCAUGUAGACUUCUGGCUUUUAAUCCAUCAAUGUAGGAAUAUCAUGGUGCUUUGAUUAGAUGGUGGUGGUGCAGGCCGCCACCACAAAGAAACCGGAAAAAGAAACAGAAGCGAGAGUAGGGGUUAGUACGGAUUUUAGAGCCACCAUGAAUAGUUAUUAUAAUGAAUUGAAUAUGCAGAGUAUCAGGAUUAAAUUAAAGUGAAGUUAUGAGAAAGCCAUAUUAAAAUAA
Erpetoichthys calabaricus (reedfish) is the source of this 311-nucleotide long non-coding RNA. RefSeq lists it as uncharacterized. The record is from RefSeq and is a predicted model, not a curated record. The transcript is spliced from 2 exons. NCBI's taxonomy places the organism in Eukaryota, Metazoa, Chordata, Cladistia, Polypteriformes, Polypteridae.